UUAAGUUAUUAAGGGCGCACGGUGGAUGCCUUGGCACUAGAAGCCGAUGAAGGACGUUACUAACGACGAUAUGCUUUGGGUAGCUGUAAGUAAGCGUUGAUCCAGAGAUUUCCGAAUGGGGGAACCCAGCAUGAGUUAUGUCAUGUUAUCGACAUGUGAAUUCAUAGCAUGUCAGAAGGCAGACCCGGAGAACUGAAACAUCUUAGUACCCGGAGGAAGAGAAAGAAAAAUCGAUUCCCUGAGUAGCGGCGAGCGAAACGGGAAUAGCCCAAACCAACAAGCUUGCUUGUUGGGGUUGUAGGACACUCUAUACGGAGUUACAAAAGAACAUGUUAGACGAAUCAUCUGGAAAGAUGAAUCAAAGAAGGUAAUAAUCCUGUAGUCGAAAACAUAUUCUCUCUUGAGUGGAUCCUGAGUACGACGGAGCACGUGAAAUUCCGUCGGAAUCUGGGAGGACCAUCUCCUAAGGCUAAAUACUCUCUAGUGACCGAUAGUGAACCAGUACCGUGAGGGAAAGGUGAAAAGUACCCCGGAAGGGGAGUGAAAGAGAACUUGAAACCGUGUGCUUACAAGUAGUCAGAGCCCGUUAAUGGGUGAUGGCGUGCCUUUUGUAGAAUGAACCGGCGAGUUACGAUCUGAUGCAAGGUUAAGCAGCAAAUGUGGAGCCGCAGCGAAAGCGAGUCUGAAUAGGGCGUUGAGUAUUUGGUCGUAGACCCGAAACCAGGUGAUCUACCCUUGGUCAGGUUGAAGUUCAGGUAACACUGAAUGGAGGACCGAACCGACUUACGUUGAAAAGUGAGCGGAUGAACUGAGGGUAGCGGAGAAAUUCCAAUCGAACUUGGAGAUAGCUGGUUCUCUCCGAAAUAGCUUUAGGGCUAGCCUCAAGUGAUGAUUAUUGGAGGUAGAGCACUGUUUGGACGAGGGGCCCCUCUCGGGUUACCGAAUUCAGACAAACUCCGAAUGCCAAUUAAUUUAACUUGGGAGUCAGAACAUGGGUGAUAAGGUCCGUGUUCGAAAGGGAAACAGCCCAGACCACCAGCUAAGGUCCCAAAAUAUAUGUUAAGUGGAAAAGGAUGUGGCGUUGCCCAGACAACUAGGAUGUUGGCUUAGAAGCAGCCAUCAUUUAAAGAGUGCGUAAUAGCUCACUAGUCGAGUGACACUGCGCCGAAAAUGUACCGGGGCUAAACAUAUUACCGAAGCUGUGGAUUGUCCUUUGGACAAUGGUAGGAGAGCGUUCUAAGGGCGUCGAAGCAUGAUCGCAAGGACAUGUGGAGCGCUUAGAAGUGAGAAUGCCGGUGUGAGUAGCGAAAGACGGGUGAGAAUCCCGUCCACCGAUUGACUAAGGUUUCCAGAGGAAGGCUCGUCCGCUCUGGGUUAGUCGGGUCCUAAGCUGAGGCCGACAGGCGUAGGCGAUGGAUAACAGGUUGAUAUUCCUGUACCACCUAGUAUCGUUUUAAUCGAUGGGGGGACGCAGUAGGAUAGGCGAAGCGUGCUGUUGGAGUGCACGUCCAAGCAGUAAGGCUGAGUGUUAGGCAAAUCCGGCACUCAUAAGGCUGAGCUGUGAUGGGGAGAGGAAAUUGUUUCCUCGAGUCGUUGAUUUCACACUGCCGAGAAAAGCCUCUAGAUAGAUAACAGGUGCCCGUACCGCAAACCGACACAGGUAGUCAAGAUGAGAAUUCUAAGGUGAGCGAGCGAACUCUCGUUAAGGAACUCGGCAAAAUGACCCCGUAACUUCGGGAGAAGGGGUGCUCUUUAGGGUUCACGCCCAGAAGAGCCGCAGUGAAUAGGCCCAAGCGACUGUUUAUCAAAAACACAGGUCUCUGCUAAACCGUAAGGUGAUGUAUAGGGGCUGACGCCUGCCCGGUGCUGGAAGGUUAAGAGGAGUGGUUAGCUUCUGCGAAGCUACGAAUCGAAGCCCCAGUAAACGGCGGCCGUAACUAUAACGGUCCUAAGGUAGCGAAAUUCCUUGUCGGGUAAGUUCCGACCCGCACGAAAGGCGUAACGAUUUGGGCACUGUCUCAACGAGAGACUCGGUAAAAUCAUAGUACCUGUGAAGAUGCAGGUUACCCGCGACAGGACGGAAAGA
This 2086-nucleotide ribosomal RNA is filed under the name Staphylococcus epidermidis. Its description in RNAcentral is "bacterial LSU rRNA". It matches the Rfam family "Bacterial large subunit ribosomal RNA", at positions 3 to 2088 of the family's 2925-position model. The record is from RNAcentral. RNAcentral also lists the same sequence under 2 other names. Lineage: Bacteria; Bacillati; Bacillota; Bacilli; Caryophanales; Staphylococcaceae.